Dromaius novaehollandiae (emu) is the source of this 6319-nucleotide long non-coding RNA. RefSeq lists it as uncharacterized. Lineage: Eukaryota; Metazoa; Chordata; Aves; Casuariiformes; Dromaiidae. The transcript is spliced from 7 exons. The record is from RefSeq and is a predicted model, not a curated record.
GCGCGGCGGUGCCGCGGGAACAUGGGCGCCGAGGGGCGGUGCAGCGCGGCCGCGGGGGCGGAACGGCUGCGUGAGGGGACGCGUGCGGCUGCCCGGGGGCUGUGAGGGCCGGAGGGCGGCGGCGGCCGCGCCCCUCCACACGGGCCGGGGGUAUCGAAGGAGGUUGCCGAGGCGGCGGCGUUAUCUGCCGCGCUCCGAGGACAUUGGGGAUGGAUGGUCAUGCCGCUGACUUCCCUGCCCCAAAGAGGUGAGGGCUGAACUCAGACCUCUGAACCUGUCGCCUCUCCAUCACUAGUUCCCAGCUAUAGGUGCUGCCCCAAGCUCCAUCAGCACAGGAUGAUGGUUGGGUGGAAGGACCAGCCAUGGUGGGAGCACUAGGCUCUUUGUGAGGAGCCCACAUCGAGACAACCUCCAGGUCUGUGAGUGCGCCAAGGACCCGCAGAGGCCCCAGGAAUUAAUCAUGCCAUGAAGAAGGAGGCAGGAUCUCCUUCCUUAUCCCGCAAGUGGAGCUAGUGUUAUAACAAAAGGAGGGAGAAAGGAUAACAGGUACCCUGAGGCAGAUACCUUCAGCACUGUGCAGCCCACUAGUCCAAAGGAGCAUGAGGAAGCUCAGAAUGUGUGGCCUGCAAUAUGGGCAUACCUGUGCUUUCUAACCUAAGGUACUGAAAGAACCGAUAGCCCAAGGUCUGUCGCAUGGCCCUUCCAGAUUCACAUGGAGACAGAAAUUUCUUUGCUCCUGAACAUUCAGGAGGACCCUAAUAACAGCUAUAGACUCCUGCCAUGCGAAAACAUCAUUAGAAAGCUUAAAGAUAUAACAUUUUUAGAAAUAUUGAAAGCGUGAAGAAAAACCUUUUUUUUCUCUUUUCCAAAGAAAAAGUGAGGGAAAUUGAAAUAAUACACAUUUUCUAAAAGUGAGAAAUAUAUAUAGUUUAUGGAGCACAUGGACCCAUGUUCAUUCCACUUCAGUUUAGACACAUUACUGUAAUACUCAAACUGAGAACCCUGUGAUCCGUGAGCACAUCCAGUGGUGUAGCUCCAGAAAGUCAUUCAGGCCGUCCAAGGUCUGAGUUGCCUUCCGAAGGUACCUAUUCUUUCCAUCAAUUGCAGAGGGAUUCUGUGUUUUACAGUACCCUGCCUUAAGGCUACCGGCGCCUGAGGGCAGGUAGAGGGAAUCUGCACCUUGACAAGUAAUAUAAGACACAUCCUCACACCUCUGAGAAAGAUAUGUGGAGGCAGCAGGAUUCCAUCAGCCAGGGCAUGGGAGAGUUGAUAGAUACAAAGCCAGUUAGAGUAUAUUCUCUCUUCUCAGAGAGCUGGGCUGCCUAAGAUGAGUAGGCCUGCAGUAGGCAAAGAGGACAGUGCAAUGGAGGUGGAGAGAAGUAGGUACAUUUUCUUAUUCAUCAUGCGAGGCAAUGCAUCCAAAUUACUGCUGCCCAGAUUUGAGGAUGAUGCACAUUCUAUGACAGGAACUGCAGUGAAGGGGCAGACGCUUUUCACUGGCAUUUAACUGGUUGGCUUUUUUCUCAGAGCAAUCUUCUAAAAAUACUGAAUGUGCAAUGUUUUUUCAACACCACUUAAUUAGUUCCAAAACAGAGCUCUUAAUCUAUUUCCCUUGAGGCCAUCACAGCCUUCAUGUAGUUCUUUCCACACUCCCUUCUAUUUGCAAACCCCAAAGAGGGAGAGGAGCCAGUAUAAACUACUACCACUGGCUAGUAUGAACAAGCUGCAGUGACUAUAAUGGGACUGAUUAGCAGCUGAAAGACAUCGCUUAACUGGGAGAAGAGUUGCCUCCAUUUUCUUCAGUAGUACUUCACAAAAGCAAAGAGCAGUUGGCCUGUCCUAUAUGUGGCUUGCUCCUUCCUGUUGAGCUCUCUGCAAGAUCCUGCAGAUUGCUACCUGAACAAGAGAUAUUCACUGUUACCAACUCUCAAUAUAUUCUCAUGGUGUUUUCCUUAAAGAUCCAGCUUCCAGAGUCAGUUACUUUUUGUAGACCCAGUGAGUCUAUGCACCAUAAGCUGAAUACUACUGGAUCUCUUAAGUAAUAGUGGGACCUCACCUGGAGCAUCCAUGCUUGGGAAGAGGCAAUAUAGUGGAUGAAAGCUUGGAAGGUGGCACAGGAACCAUCCAGCCGGUCCAAGAACUGCCAGUGAAAAUGCUGAGAAUCCAAUGAUAGUCUCCUAAGUUAAAGGAAAUAAGGUUAAAUGAAGCUAAACAAACUGGAAUGCUUCUAGGAUCAGUGAGAAGAACCUCUUCUGAGAAGACUGGGCCUUACGCCUAAGCUAUGAGUGACGAAAGAAGAUGUGAGGACACAAAGAGAAUACUCACCAGCAGUCCCACAUUCUCCUUGGGUGGAUAGCUGUGGAUGCAGCAGCUGCCCCAACUGACAGACCCAAAGCAGAAGAGUCGGGAUCCUCGAUGCAUUACAGGGCCCAUCAUUUUAUCCAGGUGAGGGGAGAGCCCAGCUGGGAAAUUCUGUCCAGACAGUAACUACUGCUGUGAGAGGCUUUGCAGUUCUUCGUUUUUUUCUCCUGUUCAAAGUCUGUAGGAUGCUGAAUACUUUUCAGUAAAAGUAAGGAGUCCUGCUACUUUACAGUCAAGUCCCUUUAUUUUUAAAUUGCAUGCAUGAAGCAUCAACAUAAACCAAAAUCUACCAGGUAGAUGCUGUCCUCACCAACAGCAAGAGUGUACUUAUGUGCCUGCUCUUUCUUGGAAAAAAACACCUUUGGAUCACUGCAGCCACCUCCCACAAGCUCACUUAGUGAUGCUGCUGAGCCCAGCAGAUGGGAGGAGUCUGUCUGUGCUGUUGAUGCUGAGACAAAAUGGAAAAACUGUCUGUCCUCAUAACUACUACAGCCUUAAAAUUCCUGCUUUCCUUACCCUAUGUUCACAUUGUGUGUACCUCUUCAAACAAAUUAUUUGCACACGAAAUUAUACACUCUCUAAAAUUCCCAUUUGCCCACACUUGUAGUUCACCUACCACCUUCUUCCACAGAAAGAUCUGACUAAUAAAUGACUGGCGCCUCAAAUAAAACAGUUACCUGCACCUCACUGCAGAGAAUAUUCCUCCAUCUCCUAUCUAAAAUUCAGUUGUACAAAGAAGAUACGGAGAGGCCAGCUGGGAUACCAGGCUUCCACAGUGGGGAAAGAUGGCCAGGUAACAUCAAGCCACCCAUCUGGGUCCAGUAUCAAAGCAGAAUGUGUGUCAGGGUUACAGACAAAGGAAAAAAAAUGUUAUGAGCAUUACUGGUAGGAGACUGUAUAAGAACAAAAGUAGCUGGACAAGUACAGAGAGGGAUGUGUCCAUGCCUCCACACUCAGAGCUGGAUGGAUGCUGUAGAGUUACAGUGGUGUGGCUCUAUGCCCCAGUUUAGGAUCUCUUAGCCCAGCAUUAGCACCAUGCUAACUUGGCAACUCGACUUGCAACCUGGAGCCAGCUUAUGACAAGUCAGCUUUCAGCAAUAGCAAUCAGAUGUUUGACAGUGUAAGAUGUGUUACUUUUGCACUUGGAGGUUAACAGAUGGGAAAGUAAAUAAUCCUCCCCUCAGCUACGGACUGUGCCACUUUCAUUACAAGUAUUUUUAUUAGAUGAUUUUGUGCUUGUUAGAUGCAGACGUGAAGAUUUACACUUGGUUUCAAUACAAGUACAACUUCAUAGAUUCCCUAUUAAUUUCUGUCUAAAUAUAUUUUAUUAAUUUCUUCUACGUUUUCUUCUGUCUUUAAUUACCAAAGCUUGAAGCGGACAACUAUGAAAUCCUUCUCUAGGCUUUUCAUGCAAAAAUAUCUGCCAAGCUCUUCUCCAAGACAGCCUGCAAUGCGGUGGUGGUGGUGAGAGCAUCAGUCUGAGUUUUUUGACAAUGUGUAGAAUAUGUUAUCAAGGUGUAAAAAGCAAAGAGUUGCAAUCUACACAAACAAACAAUAGUGGAUCAGUGAUUAAACAGACAUGUCUGGCAUGUAUUUUACCAAUUCUGUGGGAGUUUUUUCUCAGCAAAUUUACUUACUCCAUUCUAUGGAGGAAGAGACAACAAGUUUUUUCCUGUGAAUCCUCCCUGUUCACUCAAUAUUUUAACUGGGUGUAACAACUACAGAAUUUGUCCAGCAAAAAUAUGUCUGACAGGCAUACAGUAUACAUAGUUCUGAGGAAUACACUGAAUAAUGAAAAAGACUUACAAGUACUUACUUACCUGACUUUUUAUUCCCAUCUUAUUUGAGUCCUCAUUCAUUUUUUUAAAUGUAUUUCCUUUAUUAUUUCUGUAUUUUCUAUUUCCUAGAGGUUUUUCAUACUCUAUUAUUCAGAGUGUUUGUGUACAGGAGAGAGCAUGGAUUACUAAGAUCCCAGAGAAGUUGCAGACACAGUUUCCUAGACAAAGUUAUGGAGGAGAUGCUGGGAAGUGGUGAAUUCUCUUGAGUGCAAUUGGGAAAAUCACUAUGAGGGUUGACUCUUCUUCCCUUGUGACCUGAUAUUCAUUCUUUACUUUACAGCACUGCCUAAGGCAUCAGUGACCUGCUCUCCGUUAGGAUAUUAACAAACAAAUACACCUAUAAAAUUACUUAAUUGAAUAACUUACCGUUUGCAUUUAACUAGGAGUUAAAUUCUGUCCUGCAUCACUUCAGUUUAAUCAUUUGAACAUAUUCAAAGUGAGUGUACAGUAUUAUUAUUGUUUGAUCUCUUUUUUCAUUCAUAUAGUUAUGCAGAUAAAUACUUAUAAUCCAGGGUAGGGAAAAUUCACUUAGUGUCUUUUCAUACAAUAUGGAUAAGGAGAAAGAGAUCUCUCUGGUGAUGACUAAGUAGGGCUUGUUCCAGCCAGAAUAGAGAGAAAAAAAAUAUUUCAUUUUUUGCAUGCACCUCUUUUACACUUUUCCUCCUUUCCUCCUUUUCCCUCCACUGAAGGGCUGAAAAAAAGAAAGGGAUGUUUUGAAAUGUCAAAACUGGGUAACAUCAAAACUUGAUAAAAGUUAUAAAACUUUUCUCCAUUUCAAAAGAAGUUUUAAAUCAUUGUUAAAAAGGUUUUUUAAAAUCAUUUAAUCAUCUAUUUGUUUUCAAAAAAGGCUCAUUUUCACAGGAAGAAACCCUCUUUUUGAUGAAGUAUAGUGACAUUUUCUCAUAUCUGUUCAAUCAGUAAUGAAAGGCCAUUUUUACAUGAAUUGUGGAAAAUGCUUGUGUUUACAUAUUCCAUAUCUCUUAGUAUACUAUGCUGUAAAAGGCCCUUCUACUAACCUGAGUUAAUUCCUUUAGUAUGAACUCUCCUGCGUGAGGACUUCACCCAAAAUACCAAAUAAGAUAGGUUGACAUGAUCCAGACAGAUUUUCAUUUGUUAUGUAGAUCAACUAAAUCUGUAUACUUCAGUCUUAUAUAAAUAUGUUUAAAGUAAUUAGAGACCAAAAGACUGAUUUGCAUUCAGCAACUAUAGCAGUAUCAACUAAAUAGGCAAUAAAUAAACCUAAGCAAACAAAAAUUCUGAGACAGACUCUCCAAUAUCAAGAGAUUGCUCUAGAUGUAUAGUCCUCAGAUAUUUUAAAAUAACAAUAUUCAGGUUCUUCCAUUUGUUUUCAGGUAUUCUGCUUUUGGGGUUUGUGCUUUCUGUAUGAACUUUACUUUUCUCUACAGCCGUGAGGAUUAGAAACUUUCUGAAGUGAAACUGAGAUUCUCUUGUCAUCUUCCAACUAUCUUUUUGCACAGACCUCACUAGCAUUACUCCUGUUUUAAAAACAAAUCAGACACUGCCCUACAGUAGCAACAGCUACUCUCAUAAAUCUUACAUGGCUUGGCAAUUAUCUUCCAGCUUUCUGUGGGUUCGCUGGAAAAUUAGAUAAAAUUUAUUUUUCUAACAAACCUCCCACUACUUAGCUGUAAAGCCAAAUGCAUCUUCUGAUACCCCUUGCUUUCAGCAGUGCCUCACCCUGGCAUUUAGGGCCAGUCUGUGUAUUUUUACAUAGCAGUAAACAGUAUUUGUCAAAGUACUCAAAAAGGCUCAGCUCAACACUUUCCAGACGCUCACUCUCCUCCCUCGGCCUAUACGUUUCAUAUGACAAUCACAUCAUUCGAAUCUGAAAUCACUGCACAGAUUGCCUCUUCACCUAUUUUACAGUGGAUGACAUACUUUAUCAAAUUACAUAACUACAAUAUAUGUUGCAACUUCUUUGGCAGGUAGUCUUCAGGACCCAUUAUCACUAAUAUACAGAUCUGUAGUUUUUUCAGUCUUGAUAAAAUAUAAUGAACAAUGACAUUGUUGGGGAGAGAAAUGUUAACCACUCUCUUUUUUCCUGAUCUCCUACAAAUACUCCCACAAAUAAAUACUCCCACAAAUAAAACUCUUGAUAU